CCAUGCAGAGCUGUCCCACCCUGAAAGCACUAGUCUGAUCUUAGAAGCUAAGCAGAGUUAGGCCCCAGCUGGUCCUUGAAUGAGAGACCACCUGGGAAUUCUGGAGGCUGUAGGGU
Molecule: ribosomal RNA, 116 nt
Filed under: Aotus nancymaae (Ma's night monkey)
Lineage: Eukaryota; Metazoa; Chordata; Mammalia; Primates; Aotidae
Source: RNAcentral